Molecule: long non-coding RNA, 3003 nt
Organism: Apodemus sylvaticus (European woodmouse)
Lineage: Eukaryota; Metazoa; Chordata; Mammalia; Rodentia; Muridae
Exons: 3
Source: RefSeq, a predicted model, not a curated record
UUCACCCCACCCCAGGGUCUCCCUGCACCCUGAGAACCCUGAGUUUUCUCUGCUGUGUCUCCCUUGAGCCUUCAGCAAGACUGGCUCCUCCUUUUUCGGAGCACCUACUGUGUGCCAGGCAACGUAAGUGAGGACCUGUCAAGACUGACUGUGUGUUCCAGGAUGUCUGAUGUGUGACCCUCGUGAAAGGAAUAUUUGAACCCCCAAAGGGGUCGUGGCCCACACAGAUUGAGAACCUAGCCAGUCAGCCAGUCCAGCAGUAGCCAGGCGGAGGAUGGAUGCUCUUCUGUGCAGAGGGACCACGGAAGGUUCCCAGACGCAUCCUCGUCUGAAGGAAAAGGACCUGAAAAAGCAGAGGCAGCGGAGUUCAGUCUUCAUGGAGACAGCUUCCUGGAGCUGUAAAAAGCCUAUGAGCUGGUUGGGGUUGCCACCCCCCCUCUACUGUUUUAUCAAUAUUGCCAUAAUUUGACACUUGUGAAUAGGGGAAGAUUGUAAAGUGUCCGUAGAUCCUGUAAACUGUUCUAAAUACAGAUUAGUAUUACAACUAAGUUUAAACCCUAGUAAAAGAUAAUUAAGUUGAUGGAUGUGGCUGUAAAUCUCCCUUUUAUCAAGGGCUCGCUCGUGCGGGAGCAGCCUCUAGCUUAUUAUUUUACAGCAUCAUUAAUGUCUUGGCAGUACCAGCAUCUUCCAUGGAUGCUGCUGCCGGCUGAGCGAGAAGCCGGUGGGAUGUGGCGCGUGGAUACGCAAGGCCCCGUGAGCUCCUGACUUCUUUUGACUUUAUAGCGACGAUGUAUGACCACAGGGUGAAUGCACACACCGGGUGGGGGUCGGGGGUUGCCUGGUGAUCCCUGCUAGGCCUGCGACCCAAUUGCAGCUCCCCACCAUAACUCAUUUGGAUCUCUAGUUUUCCGGGGUACAUAAAGACUACUGUAUCUAAGGCCCAUUUUCCUGACCCUCAUCUGGGACCGCUGCUUGCUACAGAGAUGCUUUCGUCUUUAGCCCAAUAAUGCUGGGCUGCUGAAAAGAAAAAGACCAAACUGUGAUUAAGGAGGGUCCCGAAACACAGAUGUCCUUAAGAGUUGGGUGUAGAUGGUGCCACUGAGAUGGGGAGAUCCCAAGAUGGUGCUGUCUCUGUCUGACCAGUCCUGACAGGUUCCUCUCACAACCGGCGCCAUGGGAGCUUUUGACAAGGUUCACCGGUGACUUGAGAUCUGAGCGGUUUAGCUGGCCUACUGAAGCCCUGGGGAUGCCCUCUUUGAGGAUACAUCUCUGCAGCUGCUUACUCAGGCAUUACUAGUGGAGGACCCCCAACCCUAUGCCAUCAGGCAUUACUAGUGGAGGACCCCCCAACCCUAUGCCAUCUUGCCCAUGUCCACAGAAUGGCUUGAUAAAGACUCCUUCAAGGGCAGAAUCACUGAGAGCCAAGGAUUGCUACAUGGGGCUGACUUUUGGUCCUUGGUCAGCACUUGCCAACAAGGCAUCCAUCCGUAUAUCAACCCCAAGGUGGCUCACCCUCUGUCUGGUUCCUUCUCUCCAGGGUGGUACCUAAUACUUAACGACCAACUUCAUUUCUUGUGCAAGAGUGCAGAAACCAAAUGCAGAGCCCCAGGGCAGGCAGAAGGCAGGUGAAGCAGGAGACCAGGGGGGUCAUCGUGUCUCUGACCUUGCACUGGGCCUAGUGCAGCUCUUACCUGGUUCUAUUGGAUGUCCAGAUACCAUCUUUUGUAAGUAUUAGCUCUCCUUGGCUUUCCCAGAGUUCUGAUGACUUCAAGAAGGGAUUUAUUUAUUCAGAUACCUUAAAGUCUGGUUGACUAACAUGACCCCAUUAUUUAUAGAACAGAACACCUGAGGGUCAGGGCUCUUGCUCCUAACAACUCCCUACCUUGGCUGUGACCUUGAACUGGGCCUCAGGGAACCCAGUUGGCCCUGCUGCCUCCACUGAGAGGCCAGGUUCUCAGACUUGCUGGAAGAGCUAAGCUGACUGGCCUUGACUAGGAAUUAGGACACCGAGAACAAGGAAAUAGACCAGUGGAAGAGUUAUCUGGGAGAGACAGUAUUUGACUCCAAAAGAUAAACAUACUCUUUUUUUUUUUUCUUUUUAUUGCCUGAAGCUGAGCGAUAUGGACCUUGGUUGGAAUUAGCAGGCUGAAAGUUCAAGCCAUAAAUGAUUCUCAGGGGCAAGAGGAUCAGCGGGGCCAACUUGAGGCUUGUCAGGAGGCCCGGGCUGGGGCUGCUCACCUUUUGAACUGGGUGUGGGUGGGUAAGGAGCUGGCUCCCAUGAUCGUGAGCAGAGGGGAUGUCUGGCCAGCCCCCCUUCCCCCCACCCCCAGCCUCACCUCCGUGUACCAGGGUGGAGUCAAGUUCCUAGAGGAGAGAGUAGCAGGUAUACUUUAGGUAUUCCAAGCCUAAAAUGGCACUCCAGGCUUCGAAGGCCUCAUCUCCGAGAAGCCAAAACAGGCUGACUGGCAGACUUGUGAUAAACCGAACUUUUCUCUUUGUGGGGUCUCAGAAGGAAAACAGCCUAUCCCUUGGGAGCAACUGCUACUUCAAAAGUGUGUGUUCUGGACAUCUUUCGGGGCCACUGGUAGGCCCUAAGAUCUCACCCGAUGAGCAGAAACUGAAGGUCCCUGUCUCAAUAAGGCAAUGUUUGGAGACUUGCGGUCUUCUUCACAGAGUCAAGAGCUUUUCCGGCUCUCAGGGUUAAUUACGUCCCGGGUCUGGUCCUCCUUGUCUGGACCAUGGCCUGGUGUGCAGAACAUAGUGACAGACAACCCACUGUCCCCUGGUUUAGGGUGUGACAUCACGUAAAUAUGUGGACACGUGUGGGGUGGGCUCUGGGUGGCAUGUCUGGGGAUAAUGUGCCCAGGGACUAGACCGACUUCUCUCCAGAACUCACUGCGCUCUGGCAACUCUAUGUAAAACCUUACGGGGCUGAGGCUGAGGCUGACUGUAACAAGCCGUAAGUGGCUGAAGCUAAUAAAUCCAACUAUCUUGAAGAGCAAA